GAGGAAAGAAGCGGAGCCCCGCCCCGCGGCGGAGCGCGCCUGCCAUGGCUGAGCCCCCGGGUGCUGGCCCCGCUGCCCUGCGCUUAGCUGCCGCCGCCAGCUGGAGGGCCGUGCGCGGACGCUACGUGGAAUACUUUCCGCGAGUGUUGGAGUUUCUGCGGUGCCUGCGCGCUGCUGCUCCCGGCUUGGUUCGCUACCGCCACCACGAGCGCCUGUGCAUGGGCCUAAAGGCCAAGGUGGUGGUGGAGCUGAUCCUCCAGGGCCGGCGUUGGGCCCACGUUCUGAAUUCCUUGUAUCUCCACUUUCCAGUGUCUGGACCUACUGUAGUGCGGGACCCCAAAGCUACAGAACAGGAUCUGAAGAUCAUCUCCGAGGCACAGGAAGCCUUUCGCCAGCAGGUGAAGCUGCUGGCAGAGGCCCCUGAGGAUUUGGAUUGGAAGUUACUGGAACUUGAACAAGAGUAUGGGGAGCCCUUUCUAGCUGCCAUGGAAAAGCUAUUUUUUGAAUACUUGUGUCGGCUGGAAAAAGCACUGCCUACCCCCCACACAGAGCAGCUUCAGGAUGUGCUGAGCUGGAUGCAGCCUGGGAUUUCUAUCACAUCUUCUUUUGCUUUGAGCCAAUAUAGUGUGGACAUGGGGUGGCCACUUCCAGAGUGCUCUGUGACUAAUUCAAUGAACAUGUCAGAGUCCAUGGAGCCCAGUCCUCCUCAGCAACCAAGACCAGCACUCCAUCAACCUGUGCCAAAAAGCAACUCUGGCCCACACCGUCCUCAGGGACCAGCCUCAAGAAAGCACCCAGAACCUUUGGCUGGCCACCACUUCAACUUGGCUCCUCUAGGCCAGCGAAAAACCCACGCCCAGUGGACAUCCACGAGGAACAGGAAAGAACGAGGGACACACACAGCAGUUCCAGCAGGUGAUGUGGGCACGAAAGCAGCCUCCACUGGAAAGUCUAGGAGUCCAUCCCAGACCCUGGGUGGAAAGACUGUGAAGGAGAACCCAGCUGACUUGUCCGCCUCGGAGCAAAAGGCUGUGUCUUCCAUCUCUGUGCAGCCCUGUCAUGACCAGAGGGGACUUGGUUUUGGACUCUGAUGAGGAGGAAAAUGGCCAGAGUGGAGGAAUGCCACACUUGGCUCCGCCUGGUUUUGAAGCAGAGCCAGAAAUUUGCGCCUAGAAGCUCAGGACUGCGGACAGAGACACAGCGGCUCUCAUGUUAUUUCUUGAAUGGCCACAGGACAGCAGCAGAAGAUCAUGUUUGCACAGGAAUUGGCUGAGAGUAAUAAGUCUAUAGAUCCAUAGACGUGUACACUAUAAUCAGUAACGUACUUGAAGGACAUCAUAUAUAUAUUAUACACGUUUUAUUCUGGGGAAGUAUUUGAAAUAAACUGUAUAUGUGUAGCUAGAAGUUUUUAACUAGGCACUGAUAUGUGAGUAUAUCCUAUAUAAUAAAAGGCUAAUAUGAUAAUUGUC
This is an RNA transcript of Myotis daubentonii (Daubenton's bat), 1469 nucleotides long. It is a transcript of the gene named TERF1-interacting nuclear factor 2-like, with no coding region annotated. The transcript is spliced from 10 exons. NCBI's taxonomy places the organism in Eukaryota, Metazoa, Chordata, Mammalia, Chiroptera, Vespertilionidae. The record is from RefSeq and is a predicted model, not a curated record.